Molecule: ribosomal RNA, 1503 nt
Filed under: Klebsiella pneumoniae
Lineage: Bacteria; Pseudomonadati; Pseudomonadota; Gammaproteobacteria; Enterobacterales; Enterobacteriaceae
Description: 16S ribosomal RNA
Rfam family: Bacterial small subunit ribosomal RNA
Source: RNAcentral
AGAGUUUGAUCCUGGUCAGAACGAACGCUGGCGGCAGGCCUAACACAUGCAAGUCGAGCGGUAGCACAGAGAGCUUGCUCUCGGGUGACGAGCGGCGGACGGGUGAGUAAUGUCUGGGAAACUGCCUGAUGGAGGGGGAUAACUACUGGAAACGGUAGCUAAUACCGCAUAAUGUCGCAAGACCAAAGUGGGGGACCUUCGGGCCUCAUGCCAUCAGAUGUGCCCAGAUGGGAUUAGCUAGUAGGUGGGGUAACGGCUCACCUAGGCGACGAUCCCUAGCUGGUCUGAGAGGAUGACCAGCCACACUGGAACUGAGACACGGUCCAGACUCCUACGGGAGGCAGCAGUGGGGAAUAUUGCACAAUGGGCGCAAGCCUGAUGCAGCCAUGCCGCGUGUGUGAAGAAGGCCUUCGGGUUGUAAAGCACUUUCAGCGGGGAGGAAGGCGGUGAGGUUAAUAACCUCAUCGAUUGACGUUACCCGCAGAAGAAGCACCGGCUAACUCCGUGCCAGCAGCCGCGGUAAUACGGAGGGUGCAAGCGUUAAUCGGAAUUACUGGGCGUAAAGCGCACGCAGGCGGUCUGUCAAGUCGGAUGUGAAAUCCCCGGGCUCAACCUGGGAACUGCAUUCGAAACUGGCAGGCUAGAGUCUUGUAGAGGGGGGUAGAAUUCCAGGUGUAGCGGUGAAAUGCGUAGAGAUCUGGAGGAAUACCGGUGGCGAAGGCGGCCCCCUGGACAAAGACUGACGCUCAGGUGCGAAAGCGUGGGGAGCAAACAGGAUUAGAUACCCUGGUAGUCCACGCCGUAAACGAUGUCGAUUUGGAGGUUGUGCCCUUGAGGCGUGGCUUCCGGAGCUAACGCGUUAAAUCGACCGCCUGGGGAGUACGGCCGCAAGGUUAAAACUCAAAUGAAUUGACGGGGGCCCGCACAAGCGGUGGAGCAUGUGGUUUAAUUCGAUGCAACGCGAAGAACCUUACCUGGUCUUGACAUCCACAGAACUUAGCAGAGAUGCUUUGGUGCCUUCGGGAACUGUGAGACAGGUGCUGCAUGGCUGUCGUCAGCUCGUGUUGUGAAAUGUUGGGUUAAGUCCCGCAACGAGCGCAACCCUUAUCCUUUGUUGCCAGCGGUUAGGCCGGGAACUCAAAGGAGACUGCCAGUGAUAAACUGGAGGAAGGUGGGGAUGACGUCAAGUCAUCAUGGCCCUUACGACCAGGGCUACACACGUGCUACAAUGGCAUAUACAAAGAGAAGCGACCUCGCGAGAGCAAGCGGACCUCAUAAAGUAUGUCGUAGUCCGGAUUGGAGUCUGCAACUCGACUCCAUGAAGUCGGAAUCGCUAGUAAUCGUAGAUCAGAAUGCUACGGUGAAUACGUUCCCGGGCCUUGUACACACCGCCCGUCACACCAUGGGAGUGGGUUGCAAAAGAAGUAGGUAGCUUAACCUUCGGGAGGGCGCUUACCACUUUGUGAUUCAUGACUGGGGAAGUCGUAACAAGGUAGCCGUAGG